Molecule: ribosomal RNA, 253 nt
Filed under: uncultured bacterium
Lineage: Bacteria
Description: partial 16S ribosomal RNA
Rfam family: Bacterial small subunit ribosomal RNA
Source: RNAcentral
UACGUAGGGUGCAAGCGUUGUCCGGAAUUAUUGGGCGUAAAGAGCUCGUAGGCGGUUUGUCGCGUCUGCUGUGAAAACGCGAGGCUCAACCUCGCGCCUGCAGUGGGUACGGGCAGACUAGAGUGCGGUAGGGGAGAUUGGAAUUCCUGGUGUAGCGGUGGAAUGCGCAGAUAUCAGGAGGAACACCGAUGGCGAAGGCAGAUCUCUGGGCCGUAACUGACGCUGAGGAGCGAAAGCGUGGGGAGCGAAUAGG